This 220-nucleotide ribosomal RNA is filed under the name uncultured bacterium. RNAcentral describes it as "partial 16S ribosomal RNA". The stretch from base 1 to 193 matches the Rfam family "Bacterial small subunit ribosomal RNA", at positions 118 to 311 of the family's 1533-position model. The record is from RNAcentral.
UGAGCAAUCUGCCCUUCUCAUCGGAAUAAGCGUUGGAAACGACGUCUAAUGCCGAAUACGACCUCCUUUCGCAUGAUCGGAGGUGGAAAGCUCCGGCGGAGAAGGAUGAGCUCGCGGCCUAUCAGCUAGUUGGUGAGGUCAUGGCUCACCAAGGCGACGGACGGGUAGCUGGUCCGAGAGGAUGGCCAGCCACAGUUGGGACUGGAGACACCGGCACGUA